This 486-nucleotide ribosomal RNA is filed under the name uncultured bacterium. RNAcentral describes it as "partial 16S ribosomal RNA". It matches the Rfam family "Bacterial small subunit ribosomal RNA", at positions 30 to 507 of the family's 1533-position model. The record is from RNAcentral.
AUUGAACGCUGGCGGCAUGCCUUACACAUGCAAGUCGAACGGCAGCACGGGUGCUUGCACCUGGUGGCGAGUGGCGAACGGGUGAGUAAUACAUCGGCACAUGUCCUGUAGUGGGGGAUAGCCCGGCGAAAGCCGGAUUAAUACCGCAUACGAUCUACGGAUGAAAGCGGGGGACCUUCGGUCCUCGCGCUAUAGGGUUGGCCGAUGGCUGAUUAGCUAGUUGGUGGGGUAAAGGCCUACCAAGGCGACGAUCAGUAGCUGGUCUGAGAGGACGACCAGCCACACUGGGACUGAGACACGGCCCAGACUCCUACGGGAGGCAGCAGUGGGGAAUUUUGGACAAUGGGCGAAAGCCUGAUCCAGCAAUGCCGCGUGUGUGAAGAAGGCCUUCGGGUUGUAAAGCACUUUUGUCCGGAAAGAAAUCCUUGGCCCUAAUACGGUCGGGGGAUGACGGUACCGGAAGAAUAAGCACCGGCUAACUACGUG